Molecule: non-coding RNA, 724 nt
Organism: Myxocyprinus asiaticus (Chinese sucker)
Lineage: Eukaryota; Metazoa; Chordata; Actinopteri; Cypriniformes; Catostomidae
Source: the annotation of a RefSeq genome assembly
CAUCACUUCCUAAUGGAAGUGGCCCCUUUAUCUAUUUUAUAGCAGUGUUACCCAGCACAUAAAGCAAACAUGACUGGUAUUCUUCUAAGUGUUUCUAAUUCUUUAUUAUACCUUGCAGCUGUCUGUCUCGGUACAACUGUUGUCCAGACUCCUCGUGACCUCUUAAAGAGCCAAGAUGAACCUGCUGUGAUCAUAUGUGAACACAAUAUACAGAACUAUGACCGUAUUCUUUGGUACAAACAGGAAAUUAUGGGCUUAAAGUUCAUGGGAUACCUUAAUCUACAAAAUGACUACCCAGAGUCUGAAUUUAAAGGAAAGGUUGAAUUGAAGGGGGAUGGAAGGAAUAAUGGCAGUCUGACUAUAAACACUCUCACACUGAAUGACAGUGCAGUGUAUUUCUGUGCAGCAUAUUACACAGUGCUCAGAAUCAGUUCUGUUGAGUACAAAAACCUCCAUCUGUUGUAUAAACUUAACAGUGACUUCACUAUAACUCUGCACCUGGAGCUGUGGGGUUUGAUUCAGUACCAGUUAACGAUUCUUGUAAUUUUGGAUAGACUUUUAAUAUUAUUAAAUUGCAUACCUUUCCUAUGAAUAGUUAUCUUUUGAUACAUCAUUAAUACGGUACCACAAUGUUUAAGCAUUAUGCUUAUUACCUAAUAUUUAUUAAUUGCCAAAUGGCAUUUAUCUCACAAAACUCACUAAGUCAUAUAUCACAAAAUCAAAA